GGAAUCUUUCUUGACAUGGAGUUAAAACUCAUAACAUAUCUUUAAUCAUAAAUGAUCCAUAGAAUCAAAACAUAAAUGACAAAUCUUUUCUAACUUUCCCGAGAUAGCUUCCUCAACUCGUUCUCAGGAUUUUAUUCCGAUGCUAUUAGUCUUGGCUUGAGGCGUUUGGUCAGCUGCGGAAAAUUGUGGACCACUGAUAUCAUGCAUGCGUUGGUUGUUCUUGUCUUUCAUCAAUUGGAAGGUGUCACACGAGUCCCAUUAAAGAUUUGAUAUCAAAUACUAUUUUGUUGCGUACAGCCAUUCAAUGCGUCGUAAAUUCUCGUAGAAAUUCUUCGAGGAAAUUCCUCUCCUCCACCCGCCGACGCCGGCGCCUGCAGCCGCCACAUUUCCACCGCGUCUCCCUCAUCUCUCUCCCUCGCCUCUAUGUCAUUUCUCUCUCUCUCUCUCUC
This 449-nucleotide long non-coding RNA is filed under the name Salvia miltiorrhiza (redroot sage). RNAcentral's name for it is "long non-coding RNA (SMIL_LNC014010)". The record is from RNAcentral. Lineage: Eukaryota; Viridiplantae; Streptophyta; Magnoliopsida; Lamiales; Lamiaceae.